AGAGUUUGAUCAUGGCUCAGAUUGAACGCUGGCGGCAGGCUUAACACAUGCAAGUCGAACGAUGACUCUCUAGCUUGCUAGAGAAGAUUAGUGGCGGACGGGUGAGUAACAUUUAGGAAUCUGCCUAGUAGUGGGGGAUAGCUCGGGGAAACUCGAAUUAAUACCGCAUACGACCUACGGGUGAAAGGGGGCGCAAGCUCUUGCUAUUAGAUGAGCCUAAAUCAGAUUAGCUAGUUGGUGGGGUAAAGGCCCACCAAGGCGACGAUCUGUAACUGGUCUGAGAGGAUGAUCAGUCACACCGGAACUGAGACACGGUCCGGACUCCUACGGGAGGCAGCAGUGGGGAAUAUUGGACAAUGGGGGCAACCCUGAUCCAGCCAUGCCGCGUGUGUGAAGAAGGCCUUUUGGUUGUAAAGCACUUUAAGCAGGGAGGAGAGGCUAAUGGUUAAUACCCAUUAGAUUAGACGUUACCUGCAGAAUAAGCACCGGCUAACUCUGUGCCAGCAGCCGCGGUAAUACAGAGGGUGCGAGCGUUAAUCGGAAUUACUGGGCGUAAAGCGAGUGUAGGUGGCUCAUUAAGUCACAUGUGAAAUCCCCGGGCUUAACCUGGGAACUGCAUGUGAUACUGGUGGUGCUAGAAUAUGUGAGAGGGAAGUAGAAUUCCAGGUGUAGCGGUGAAAUGCGUAGAGAUCUGGAGGAAUACCGAUGGCGAAGGCAGCUUCCUGGCAUAAUAUUGACACUGAGAUUCGAAAGCGUGGGUAGCAAACAGGAUUAGAUACCCUGGUAGUCCACGCCGUAAACGAUGUCUACUAGCCGUUGGGGUCCUUGAGACUUUAGUGGCGCAGUUAACGCGAUAAGUAGACCGCCUGGGGAGUACGGCCGCAAGGUUAAAACUCAAAUGAAUUGACGGGGGCCCGCACAAGCGGUGGAGCAUGUGGUUUAAUUCGAUGCAGCGCGAAGAACCUUACCUGGUCUUGACAUAGUGAGAAUCUUUCAGAGAUGAGAGAGUGCCUUCGGGAAUUCACAUACAGGUGCUGCAUGGCUGUCGUCAGCUCGUGUCGUGAGAUGUUGGGUUAAGUCCCGCAACGAGCGCAACCCUUUUCCUUAUUUGCCAGCGGGUUAAGCCGGGAACUUUAAGGAUACUGCCAGUGACAAACUGGAGGAAGGCGGGGACGACGUCAAGUCAUCAUGGCCCUUACGACCAGGGCUACACACGUGCUACAAUGGUAGGUACAGAGGGCAGCUACACAGCGAUGUGAUGCGAAUCUCAAAAAGCCUAUCGUAGUCCAGAUUGGAGUCUGCAACUCGACUCCAUGAAGUAGGAAUCGCUAGUAAUCGCGGAUCAGAAUGCCGCGGUGAAUACGUUCCCGGGCCUUGUACACACCGCCCGUCACACCAUGGGAGUUGAUUGCACCAGAAGUGGAUAGCUUAACCGUAAGGGGAGCGUUC
This 1449-nucleotide ribosomal RNA is filed under the name uncultured bacterium. RNAcentral's name for it is "bacterial SSU rRNA". It matches the Rfam family "Bacterial small subunit ribosomal RNA". The record is from RNAcentral.